CCCAAAAGGCGUUUCAUUAUCCCUCUCGAAAAAAAUUGUAUUCCCGCUUGUUUUCCAUCCCCAAAAGGCCAAAACUACCCAAGUUCAGUUACAUUCAUCUUCUUCCCACUGCACCACAUUUAUCCUCUCAAACCUAAUUGUAGCCGUCGUCAGCCAUGGUCGACCCAAAUGUAGGGACUUGCAUAAAAAGCCUAAUAAUUCACCCUAAAAUCGCUCAAGUCGUGGCGGAGGAGAAGCGACAUUAUUGAAUCGUUCUCCAAUUGCAAGGUUGGCCAACUCCAAUAUGAGUAGCAACGCGUCAAAUCAACUAUUCUUCGUCGUUUGUGGUUUUCUCUUAAAAAAUAUCAUCAACAGGUUGUGCACCGAAGGAAAUCUGCACCUUCUCUCUGAGAUUCAGUAGAAUUUAAGUUCGAAAACGAGUUUUUAAGAGAUAUCCCAGAAAUGGACAACACAGACAGGAAGAUAUUGUAUGAAGCUGUUGUUGAAGGGUGGUGGUCGAAAGCAAAAUACAUAUUGAAAAUCCACAAAAGUGCAGACACAGUGGCAAUCAAUGAAAAUUCUGACACGAUCCUUCACGUAGCAGUUGAAAUGGGGCAGAACUAUUUCGUAGAAAAACUGGUGGAGUUUUUAAAAGACGAAAAGAUACUGAAACACAAAAUUCUAAGGGUCGAACAGCCCUACACAUUGCGGCAAUGGUUGGUAAUAUGCACGCAGCCCAACUCUUGGUUCAGAAGAGGAAAGAGGAGCUGCUGGUGAUUCUAGAUAGCAAGGAAGAGUCACCAUUGGAUAUUGCUUAUGCCAAAUAAGAAGAUCAAUAGAUAUACAUAUUUCUUGAAAUGCCCUGAUCUAAGCCUUUCUUCAGAUAAGUGUCAGGAAAAUGCUAUAUUGGCUGCUAUUUUAGUAAAACAAUAUGGUGAGUAGCUAGUUAGUACUAGGGGUGGUAAUCGUGUUGGGGUUGACGGUUGUAAAUGGGUUGGAUUUUAAUUUCAGGUUCUGGUCAUGUAAAGAAUCACGUACUACUCCUAGCUAGUUAUUACACCGUUUUAUGGUAAUUUAAUGGGACAAUAGUCGAAAGACUUGGCAUUUAUAGCGAAAACGAUGUAAUAACUAGCCCACUCCUAGCUAGUUAUUACAUCGUUUUAUGGUACCGGCUCGGUACCGGUACCCGGUACCAAAUGAAGUUCACCGUGACGUGCAAUUCUCUAAAAACACUAAACAUUUUUUUUAAUUUUUUAAUUUUUUUUGAUUUUUUUGAUUUUUAAUUUUUUUUGAUUUUGUUUUAUUUAUUUAUAUUUUUAGCCUAUCAAGCCCAAAUCCAUCUUGAUAAAACCCAUCUUGACCUAAACCCAUCCUAAAGAAUGAAUGAUUGAUUUAAUUAAUAUAGCUAUACACGAGAUAUUGGGAGGAGAUAAAAUUUAAGCUGCUUUUUUUUUUCUUUCUAGCUAAAUAAACCCAAUGAAUUGUGUGAAAUAAAGGAAGGGCUACAUAUAGUGGCCAUACUAUACAGAACUAAAAGUCAAAGUGAUUAUAUUCCAAAACCUUUGGAAUAUAACACUUAAGCUUUAUUUUAGCCAUUAAUAAGAACCCAAACAUGUUUGACCUUUUACCUCUUCUUUUAGUCCCAUUAGAGAUAGUGAUUUCACUUUGGUAUCGACUGACUUGAAGUAUUUUAUUAUAAUAUGUAAUGGGCGUUCUGUAUUUGUUAACAAGAUUAGCUAAAGAUAUGUCGGAUGUGUAGUUUUUUCAUAACGGGUUAAUUUAGGUUAAACAGCUUUAAUGUUUGCAUAAUGGGUCAAUUUCUAUUUAUAUACCAAAUUAUAAGUUUGUGUAUAGUAUUAAGACUUGCUAAGCUUAAAUGCUUAAUGGAAAUGGUAAAACAGAAUAGUUAUUUUUAAUUUAAUCUGGAAAUGAACAGAUGAAACCACGAGGAUCAAAGUCGUUAAACUUGUUUGUUUCAUUGUUUGAGGCGAAGACAGGUAAAGAGGGGGAUCGGCUACGACUAUUGACGAUGGGGCAACUAUAGGAGUUGCAGCGGCUGCUGUGGAUGGAGCAACUGCAGGAGGUGUUGCGGCUAUUGGUGGAGCCGCCAGAGGGGCACUAGAAAUUGCGGUUUCAUGACCGGUAGUUACAGAUACAGGUGGUGGGGAUGCUGAUUCGGUCUCUCCAUCUCUUUAAAUAGUAAAAGAAAAUAAGACAAAACUUAAAGUAAUGUCACAAGAUAGGUGGGUUAACAAACAGGUCCAGAUCGACCAAAAACACUCUUAUGUCCAAAAUUAAAAUUUCCAUAUUUGUGAACGGUAUAUUUUGCUCCUAAAUGCAGAAAUUAGAGUAGACGGUGCAGAAUGACGGUUAUAUUAUGUCAUUUCAACUUAUGCACUCUUGGGAUUGUUCACAUGUAUAUAAAUCCAGAAAUCAUGGAUAUUGAUGUUUUUUAUAGGCUCUUUUUUUUUUGUUAUGGAAUAGUAAGCAACUAAAUUGCAUUAAUUUUAAGUUUAUUUUGAAUUUCUGUUGAAUGCUUAAUCGUCUUCAUCCCUAAAUCUGUUUUGCACAGCACACCGCACCCAGCACUUGUCGCCGCCACACCCCGGCUUGCUAUUGAUUUUGACCAAGCGAAACAUGGAGAUUUUGAAUUCGUGACACACAUGACUUGUGUCUGAGGUAAAUUUUUUAUCCUUUUUUUUUGCUAAUUGUUGAAAGUCAUUAGUGUUUCGUUGAAUAAAACCUAUACCUCAUAAAUUUGUAGAGUUGAUCAUAUUGAUUUUGAAUUCAAGUUGGUUUUCCUGAAAGUCAUUAGUGUUUUGUUAAAUAAACACUAUACAAUAGCCUCUGCACUUGAAACCUCAAGACCGACAUCAUCAUGGGAAGGUAGAGGUGGCAGAGAAGGAUUCGAUGGAAUUUUUCUAGGGGACAAGGUUUUGGACUGGCAAUGGAAUCACCUAUUUCAUAUCUUGCUGAUGAUGAUCUGUUUCAUCCGCUGCUAGUGCUCGGACAUGAUCAACGGAUCAUUGGCAAAUUUAUCAGAUGUUAGUAAUUGGGAUCAUAUGAAGUGGCUAUUGGAAUGUUUAGAAAUUGUUGAUACUUCUGUUAUUUUAUUGCCACUAAAUUUAGGACUAAUCUUGAUAAGGCUGCUGUAUAUACUGGUAUUUUUGUUUUUGUAGAUAUUAUUGACUAUGUUUGGAAUGGGCUGCUAAUUCUUCUGAUCAGGUUUAUGUAAUCUUCUAUAAUAUGUGAAGGUGAACCCGGCCACAACGCAGCGGAUACUACUAGUUAUCAACUAAUGGGUAAAGAGUCUUAUCAUGAAGCCUCUUUUCAUUAGGUGAUGGCAAUUCAGAUAACUAGAGGUAUUGAAAGACCCACCCUAUCUUUGGUUGGAGAGCUUAAAGUGAUGUCAAAGAAGUGAAGUUGUCAUUUAUUAAUUGCUCUUACAUCAUGCUUGGCUGAUGCGUCGGCCAUAAGCAAUAAGUGCAGGGAACAACUAUAUAUGAAGUGGGAAAAUGAUGAUUAUUUUACUCGUAUGAAGAUUCUGAAAGAGAUUCAUGAACGCAAUGAAGUUUUGGUAUUUUGUUCAAAUGUUUAUUAAUUAUUUGUUUUGUAUGUUUGAUAUUUAGACUUAGGUUGACACUUAUUAAAUAUUUGUUUGCAAACAUUUGGAAUCUUUGGAAGAUGAUUGAUUGAACUUUUUAUUUGAAGUGAUUA
Helianthus annuus (common sunflower) is the source of this 3696-nucleotide long non-coding RNA. RefSeq lists it as uncharacterized. The record is from RefSeq and is a predicted model, not a curated record. The transcript is spliced from 2 exons. NCBI's taxonomy places the organism in Eukaryota, Viridiplantae, Streptophyta, Magnoliopsida, Asterales, Asteraceae.